GAUGAACGCUGGCGGCGUGCCUAAUACAUGCAAGUCGAGCGAACGGACGAGAAGCUUGCUUCUCUGAUGUUAGCGGCGGACGGGUGAGUAACACGUGGAUAACCUACCUAUAAGACUGGGAUAACUUCGGGAAACCGGGGCUAAUACCGGAUAAUAUUUUGAACCGCAUGGUUCAAAAGUGAAAGACGGUCUUGCUGUCACUUAUAGAUGGAUCCGCGCUGCAUUAGCUAGUUGGUAAGGUAACGGCUUACCAAGGCAACGAUGCAUAGCCGACCUGAGAGGGUGAUCGGCCACACUGGAACUGAGACACGGUCCAGACUCCUACGGGAGGCAGCAGUAGGGAAUCUUCCGCAAUGGGCGAAAGCCUGACGGAGCAACGCCGCGUGAGUGAUGAAGGUCUUCGGAUCGUAAAACUCUGUUAUUAGGGAAGAACAUAUGUGUAAGUAACUGUGCACAUCUUGACGGUACCUAAUCAGAAAGCCACGGCUAACUACGUGCCAGCAGCCGCGGUAAUACGUAGGUGGCAAGCGUUAUCCGGAAUUAUUGGGCGUAAAGCGCGCGUAGGCGGUUUUUUAAGUCUGAUGUGAAAGCCCACGGCUCAACCGUGGAGGGUCAUUGGAAACUGGAAAACUUGAGUGCAGAAGAGGAAAGUGGAAUUCCAUGUGUAGCGGUGAAAUGCGCAGAGAUAUGGAGGAACACCAGUGGCGAAGGCGACUUUCUGGUCUGUAACUGACGCUGAUGUGCGAAAGCGUGGGGAUCAAACAGGAUUAGAUACCCUGGUAGUCCACGCCGUAAUCGAUGAGUGCUAAGUGUUAGGGGGUUUCCGCCCCUUAGUGCUGCAGCUAACGCAUUAAGCACUCCGCCUGGGGAGUACGACCGCAAGGUUGAAACUCAAAGGAAUUGACGGGGACCCGCACAAGCGGUGGAGCAUGUGGUUUAAUUCGAAGCAACGCGAAGAACCUUACCAAAUCUUGACAUCCUUUGACAACUCUAGAGAUAGAGCCUUCCCCUUCGGGGGACAAAGUGACAGGUGGUGCAUGGUUGUCGUCAGCUCGUGUCGUGAGAUGUUGGGUUAAGUCCCGCAACGAGCGCAACCCUUAAGCUUAGUUGCCAUCAUUAAGUUGGGCACUCUAAGUUGACUGCCGGUGACAAACCGGAGGAAGGUGGGGAUGACGUCAAAUCAUCAUGCCCCUUAUGAUUUGGGCUACACACGUGCUACAAUGGACAAUACAAAGGGCAGCGAAACCGCGAGGUCAAGCAAAUCCCAUAAAGUUGUUCUCAGUUCGGAUUGUAGUCUGCAACUCGACUACAUGAAGCUGGAAUCGCUAGUAAUCGUAGAUCAGCAUGCUACGGUGAAUACGUUCCCGGGUCU
RNAcentral lists this ribosomal RNA (1372 nucleotides) under uncultured bacterium. Its description in RNAcentral is "bacterial SSU rRNA". It matches the Rfam family "Bacterial small subunit ribosomal RNA", at positions 28 to 1381 of the family's 1533-position model. The record is from RNAcentral.